Molecule: unclassified non-coding RNA, 218 nt
Filed under: Hevea brasiliensis (rubber tree)
Lineage: Eukaryota; Viridiplantae; Streptophyta; Magnoliopsida; Malpighiales; Euphorbiaceae
Source: RNAcentral
UUCAAAGAUAGUGUCUUUUUAUUGACUGUGAUAGAAACUUUAAUCCUUGUCAUGUGACAACAAGAAUAUCAUGCUUCACAGCAAUUGAUUAGCCUGUGGUCUUAUGCAAAUGUACAAUAUGCUUUUACGGAGUCAUUGCUAUAUUGAGGAGCAGAAAGGAAAGAAUUGCAUUUCCCCUUGUAUCACUGUUUAUUGAAAUAUAAGAUGUUAUCUUUGAA